UGGUCAUUGGUGUAAUUGGCAGCACCACGGUCUCCAAAACCGUUAGUGAAGGUUCGAGUCCUUCAUGGCCAGCCA
RNAcentral lists this transfer RNA (75 nucleotides) under Pseudomonas sp. FeN3W. RNAcentral describes it as "tRNA-Trp". It matches the Rfam family "tRNA". Rfam says of the family: Transfer RNA (tRNA) molecules are approximately 80 nucleotides in length. Their secondary structure includes four short double-helical elements and three loops (D, anti-codon, and T loops). Further hydrogen bonds mediate the characteristic L-shaped molecular structure. tRNAs have two regions of fundamental functional importance: the anti-codon, which is responsible for specific mRNA codon recognition, and the 3' end, to which the tRNAs corresponding amino acid is attached (by aminoacyl-tRNA synthetases). tRNAs cope with the degeneracy of the genetic code in two manners: having more than one tRNA (with a specific anti-codon) for a particular amino acid; and 'wobble' base-pairing, i.e. permitting non-standard base-pairing at the 3rd anti-codon position. Lineage: Bacteria; Pseudomonadati; Pseudomonadota; Gammaproteobacteria; Pseudomonadales; Pseudomonadaceae. The record is from RNAcentral.